GAUAAGGUGGCUGAAGUUUAGGCUGUAAAUUGUAAAUUUAUACAUGAGUUAGUACUCUCUUAUCA
RNAcentral lists this transfer RNA (65 nucleotides) under Diplonychus rusticus. RNAcentral describes it as "tRNA-Tyr". The record is from RNAcentral. Lineage: Eukaryota; Metazoa; Arthropoda; Insecta; Hemiptera; Belostomatidae. RNAcentral also lists the same sequence under 1 other name.